GAUGAACGCUAGCGGGAGGCCUAAUACAUGCAAGUCGAGCGGUAGAGUGACUUCGGUUGCUUGAGAGCGGCGAACGGGUGAGUAACGCGUACACAAUCUACCUUUAAGAGGGGAAUAGCCCUGGGAAACUGGGAUUAAUGCCCCAUGGCAUCACGAAGUGGCAUCGCUUUGUGAUUAAAGCUGAGGUGCUUAGAGAUGAGUGUGCGUCUGAUUAGCUAGUUGGUGCGGUAACGGCGCACCAAGGCGACGAUCAGUAGGGGGCGUGAGAGCGUGGACCCCCACACGGGUACUGAGACACGGACCCGACCCCUACGGGAGGCAGCAGUAAGGAAUAUUGGUCAAUGGAGGAAACUCUGAACCAGCCAUCCCGCGUGCAGGAAGAAUGCCCUAUGGGUUGUAAACUGCUUUUAUCUGGGAAGAAAAGUCGGCAUUUAUGCUGAUCUGACGGUACCAGAGGAAUAAGCACCGGCUAACUCCGUGCCAGCAGCCG
This 490-nucleotide ribosomal RNA is filed under the name uncultured bacterium. RNAcentral describes it as "bacterial SSU rRNA". It matches the Rfam family "Bacterial small subunit ribosomal RNA", at positions 28 to 517 of the family's 1533-position model. The record is from RNAcentral.